This 429-nucleotide long non-coding RNA is filed under the name Mytilus galloprovincialis (Mediterranean mussel). The record is from RNAcentral. Lineage: Eukaryota; Metazoa; Mollusca; Bivalvia; Mytilida; Mytilidae.
UCCUGCUGUUGUACAAUCUGUUAUGUUCUGAAGUAAUUUGUAGUUGUGUGUGCUAUACUGGUGGUGUACAAUCUGUUAUGUUCUAAAGUAAUUUGUAGUUGUGUGUUCUAUACUGCUAGUGUACAAUCUGUUAUAUUCUGAAGUAAUUUGUAGUUGUGUGUUUUAUUCUGCUGUUGUACAAUCUGUUAUGUUCUGAAGUAAUUUGUAGUUGUGUGUUCUAUACUGCUAGUGUACAAUCUGUUAUAUUCUGAAGUAAUUUGUAGUUGUGUGUUUUAUCCUGCUGGUGUACAAUCUGUUAUGUACUGAAGUAACUUGUUAAUGUGUAUUCUAUACUGCUGGUGUACAAUCUGUUAUGUUCUGAAGUAAUUUGUAGUUGUGUGUUCUAUACUGCUAGUGUACAAUCUGUUAUAUUCUGAAGUAAUUUGUAGU